GCAAGUCCUAGGCUCUGUGGUUUAACCCACAGCGCCACCCGUGUCCCUUAAACCAUAAGUAGAAUCAUAGAAUUGUAGAGUUGGAAGGUUUCCCAGGGGUCAUCUAGUCCAACCCCCUGCAAUGCAAGAAUCUCAACACAUGGUAAUUUAAAUGUUGCUCUUUUUUUUUUUUUAGUACUUCGCAUUGGACUGAGAAAAGGACUGGGAGCUGUCGGCAUAGUACAGAGGUAACAUGUUUAAAACACAGAGCCCCUCAGUUAAUCUAACAGUUGUGUUCCGUAGUAAAUGAAGUUUCUGAACUGUUUUCAAAGGCAGCCUCACAAUAGUGUACUACAGUAGUCUAAUUUGGAGGUUACCAAGCCCAGAUAGCUAACCCCAGGCUACGUUUGUCCAAGUGGGGAUGCAGCUAAGGCCCAAAGUAAACACUUAUUUGAUAGGCAGCAUACAGCUACGUAUCUACAUUUUUUCUGACUUAAUUACAGGCAGAGGGGGAAAUCCUUAUCAGGAAGGCAGUGCGAGGGAAGAAGGGGUGGGGGGCAAUCGUUUCCCUUCCCACCUUGCAUGGCUAGAAGUUGGCGGGAUGAGAUAGCCAAGACAGACUUUCCCCUGAAGCUUCCAAGCUGCACACGGUGUGUGUGAUCACGUUGGAGAGGUAAUGACAGUUGGCUGAUAAUUAGAAGCACAAGGUGCCUGAGUGGUAUCAUUAAGUGAGAAAAAAAUCCAGGUACAUAGCUUCCAGGUUCUGUUUACUGAAUGUUUGCAUUCAAGGCUUCUGGUAACAAAAAAAUGAAUCAACUCACACCUGCUCCCAAGUUGCAGAUCUAUUCUGUGUAGUCCUAUGUAGUCCUAUGUAGCGUAGAAUGAACACCACGUGCUUAGACAGACGAACCAUCCACCCAGAAUAUAUCAGUCUUGAUUGGAUACAGCUUCAGAUUACUGGCUACAGCCUGCCCAUUUCCCUGUGGCUGGAAUGAUGAAAGCAGGUGGCAUGGAGGAAUGUUUGGAUCCCCAAUUUUAUUCCCAUUAUUAUUAUUAUUUCUUCCACUUUUGAACCGUUUUAGGGAACUGAUGCUCACAACCAUAGGGUUUUUGUAUUAUUAUUUCUUUUAAGAAUAUUUUUUUAUUAACCGACCAAUCACAUCAAAUCAAACCAAAUUACAUAAAUUCCAAAUUACACAGCCGAAUUUUAAAUUUUUGUUGGGGGUACCCAUAUUUCAAGUUCCGAAGGGAUCCAAUCAACUUCUUGCUUCUUACUGCUGUUUUAAUGUCCACAAAUCUAACCUUAUGAUGUUCACGGGAUAAUCCAGUCCUUUCUUAUUAUUUUUCCACAUCUCUUGUUGUUAUUUUCAUAUAUUUCUCCUUUCUCUUUGUGACCUCUGAUAGUCUCCGCAAGCUGGUUAGAACAGUUUGUAAUCCUGCGUGGAUAUUAUUUUUUUUAUCCAGUAGCCAUAUCCAGACGUUUUCCAUAUAACAUCACUUCCAUACAUCAAAACAGUCUUAGUGUCAUUAAUCUGCCUCCUUUUUCAAAACCUCUGAGGAGAUUCACUAGGAAUGCAGUCUGAAAACAAAUCCAUUCUUCCUCCCGGCUAUAAAUCCUUUGGCAAGAUGGCGACUCUGAAUUAAUUGCUGCGCCAUUCCCAAAAGCUCUUAUUGCUUCUCGGUCUCCAUAAAGCAUACUUUUGGUUAAAGUUUAUCUCCACACAGACCUUAAUCAUCCUGCUUGGGUCAGUUCAACCGACGGUUCUAAUGAGGAGGGGUUCUUGUAAAUCACAUAGAAGGAAAGUGAAAAGGUUCCUCCCCCCAUUCAGCCCCGUUGUCAAUAUACCCCGCCUUUGGUGUAUCUUCAUCGUAAAAUAUUCCUGUUUCUCCAGCACAUCAUCUUCUUUUGCAGAGGUCACUUAAAUUAGCAGACUUCACUCCCCUUCUUCACUUGAAAUAUGUGCAUUUGCUUCUUUUGUAAUUAAUUAUUCCAAAUUGCUGCAACUAGUGCGCGAUCAGAGACAGCGUCCAGGAGAACCGAUGUCCACACGGGGGCAUUCUGACUAGGGCCCUCACCCCCUUCUGUCGAAUUAGGGGGUGAUUUAUGGGCACAGCAGGCAAGGGCAAUGUUCCCCAUUUCAUUGGGGCAACAAGGGAGGCUGCCUACUCCCAUAACAGCCUCUUAAUUACCCCGUGUGGGUCGGAGAGAUGGUAUUGUCGGCCAUCUUCCAAUGCGCCCCCUAGUGGCCCCCCGUGGGUUUUUGUAUUUUUUUUAAUAAUAAUUUGUAUUAAAUUUUCUGUUUCACAAUUUAGAAAAUUCAUUUAAACAACCUUAAAAUAUCAAUGACUUCCCUUCUUCCCUUUCCAUGGUUCAUUUUGCAUGGCAUAAAUCCCUACAUAUUUUACAUAAACUAAACCAUUCAGUGUUCCAUUAUUACUUCCAUCAAAACUUAUUUACACUGUUGAAUCUAUCUUAAUGCUGCCAACGUUUUCAAGUGUACACAAUUCCCCCCCUCCCAUAUAUUCAAUAAACAUUUCCCAGUCUUCUUUUAAUGUAUGUUCUUCUUCUUCUCUUAUUCUAUAAAUUAGAUCAACAAGCUGCUGUGUUCUAAACCACUGAGCCUCAUGGGCUUGCCGAUCAGAAGAUCGGCGGUUCAAAUCCCCUCAACGGGGUGAGCUCCUGUUGCUCUGUCCCAGCUCCUGCCAACCUAGCAAUCUGAAAGCACACCAGUGCAAGUAGAAAAAUAGGUACUGCUCUGGUGGGAAAGUGAAUGGUGCUUCCGUGUGCUCUGGUUUCCAUCACGGUGUUCCGUUGCGCCAGAAGUGGUUUAGUCAUGCUGGCCACAUGACCUGGAAAGCUGUCUGUGGACAAACGCCGGCUCCCUCGGCCUGAAAGCGAGAUGAGUGCCGCAACCCCAUAGUUGCCUUUGACUGGACUUAACCGUCCAGGAGUCCUUUACCUUUACCUUUUCCCUAUUCCAUCAGUUUAAGUUGCCAUUCUUCUUUGGUCGGGACCUCGCUCGUUUUCUAUUUUUGGGCUGACAAAACACGGGCCGCCAUAGUGGCAUACAUAAAUAACCUUUUUUGACACCUGGGAAUUUCCAUCUGAAUUAUCCCCAAGAAAAAGGACUCUGGUUUUUUUUGGAAAGGUGUUUGUAAACAUUUUUUUCCCAAUUUGUUAUAAAUAACCAUGGAGUUGCUCCUCUCCCUGCAUUUUCCCCUGCUCCUCAUUCAAUACUAAUAAAAAGUGUUUUUUCAAUCUCAUUUGUUCUCACUUCAAUGAAAACACUCCCAUUUACUAGCAUAUUCCCGCUACUGGUUUGGGAAGAGGCAUGUGCACAAUGUUGACCACACUCCAUAUCUAUCUUGUUGUUUCUUAGGAGGAAAUACUACAUUUUUCUGCAUUUCCCCCGAAACCAGCUUUGAUUCGAAUUGAGAAAAUGAUAGACCCACCUGCAUUUUAAGACAGUAAUGUGUAAAACAUUCUUAUUUGAUUAAUCAUGUUGCUUUUCACAAGUCCUUCUGUGGAUAACAUUUUUUUCAAAGCAAUGCUACAAAAAUAAUGUUUUUGGGGUUUUUUUAGUUUCCUUUUUACAGUGCUUCAAGACUAUUGCUGUUUUUGGAUGGGAUUCAGCCACACACUGGCAAAUUCAAGUUGCACAAUUAAAACUGAUUUGGAGCUCUUGCACAACAACAACAACCCUCACCCAAUUCACCCCAGACUUUUGCAAUAAGGAAAGUGACAGGAAAAUGCACUGGAACGUGUGAGAUAACAAUUGCUUAAUGCAAUGUUUAUCUGUUUAUCUACUUGCACUGGUGCGCUUUCGAACUGCUAGUUUGGCAGGAGCUGGGGGAGAGCCAUGGGAGCUCACUCUGUCGCACGGAUUCAAACAACCGACCUUAUGAUUGGCAAGCCCAAGAGACUCAGGGGUUCAGACCACAGCGCCACCCAUGCACACCGGAAGAUAAAACACCUCAUAACUUGCUUUUUCUCCCACUGUAAUCUCACCCCAUGGGCACUCGGACACCAUCUUCUCAGUCCAUCGGUGGAAGUAGUUGCAAAACGUCAUAGCACAAUAUACAGAGGGGUACCAGUUGGUCCUUAAAGAUAUGACUAGACUCACUCUCUUUGCUGCUACAGACUAGCUCUUCUGGAAUUUGUCUCUGAGGAAGGGCGGAGUUCGCUCUAUUUGUGUAGCAAGGCAGAGACAUCCACCCUUACUAAAUAAACGUUGGGAGUAGCUUGGUUGCCAAGGAAGGGUGGUUGCUGGUUCUUUGCCUAGGAUGUUGGGUGGUGCUGUGAGAAGCAGAAAAUAAGCUUUGUUUUCCUGGAUAGGAAGUGGCUUUGUAAUACUGGGUGGUACGUCAAAUGAAAGCUGUGCUACACAACUGUAGGUUGUGCUCACACAGCGUCAGCUACCAAGGGCGGUGCUCACAUAGAAGCCCAUAUGUCCCGUGAGGCGGACAAUACAAUUGUUAAUUCCUCCACCGGAACCUGAAAUAUAUCUAUCCUUUGUAAAUGUGAGGAGAUGGCUCUGCAACAAGGAUGGCUGGGAGGGAAAUUGUAGUAGUCAAGGUGAUGGCAUUCUGUAAAUCUUCAGAUGCUUCAAAUGUUAGUGAAAUAUGAAGGCCGGUUGUUAUUUUGUUUAAUAAAGAACUGGGUUGUACCAAACUCGGACGAUUAAACGCCACAUAAAGGAUAUCGUUUUGCCCAUUGUAAAUGUCAUGUAUUCAGUGGUUUGUGUUUGCCUGAGCUUGAGUCUGGACUAAGGAUUCUGAGCUCCUGUGUUCUGAUUCGAUACAUGAUGUCCAAUCACAGAACAUUUUAGGAUUUGGGCCUCUGCCAUUGGUCCUUGAACUCUGAGUUGUGAUUUGCAGCUUGGAAGUUUAGACAGCCAGUCAUGUUGGGAGUGGGAGUGGCCCAGGCUUUCAGGAAUGUAUAUAAGCAGUUGCUUUGCCCCUGUUUCCCAGUUAUGUAGUUCAAUAAAGGUUCUUGCUGUUAUCACUGUGUCUUGCCUCAUGGGAACCCACCUACACUUCAGUAAACAUAUUUUCAUCAUACAGAAAGGUGAUUUAGCUGUGUAGAUGCCGUACAUUUAAAGCACAUUGCUUCCUCCAAAAAAUCAUGGGAACUGCAAUUUACAGAGCUAUACAGAGCUAAAGAAUUCGACACCCCUCUUAAAAUACAGUUCCCAUUAUUUGGGGGCGGGAGGGUGUGGUUUGAAUGUGCUUUAAAUGUAUGGUGUGUGUAAACAGGAAGAAUUCUACUCCUGGCUUUUCUCACUGCAGUCCCUCUUUGCCGUUUCUCUUUAGUUUCUCUCACCAGCUGCUGUGUAUUUCCAUGCAAGAGAGGCUCAGGAGGAAGGCUGUGGGAAGGUGGCCAGGGGUCAGAGCUGGUGUGUGUUGGUAGAACUACGUAGCAGACUGUGCUCUACUUCAUUUAGCUCAAAUCAGUCCUGUUCAUUAUUCAUGCCAUUGGCAUUAAAUUAACAGGUGGCACUGUGGUCUAAACCUCUGAGCCUCUUGGGCUUGCUGAUCAGAAGGUCAGCAGUUCGAAUCCCCACAACAGGGUUAGCACCCAUUGCUCUGUCCCAGCUCCUGCCAACCUAGCAGUUCGAAAGCACACCAAUGCAAGUAGAUAAAUAGGUACUGCUCCGGCGGGAAGGUAAAUGGUGUGGAAAUCUGUGGUGUAGAAAGAGGGUGUUUAACCCUUUCCACAUCAAAAUCCCCCCUUAAGCUGCUAUGAUUAGCCCAGGCGUUGCUUCCUCCAAAUGAUCCAUGGAGUUGUAGUUUGGUACCGGUGUUUAGUUCUCUCUGGCUCAGCUUCCAAUAACUACUGUUCUCCCCAAAAAGCUAUUGUGGGGGUGGGACUAAAUUAAGCAGCAGCUUCAGGGGAGCUAUUUCAGCAGGGAAAGGGUUAAAGAGCUGCACCACACACCCCCAGUCCUCCAACUUGUCCUCUGCUAUAGCAGGUUGCUUUUUUACAAAGCCACGAAAUCUGUCACAGAUCGCUAAGGCUGCGCAUCGUUUGGUCCUUAGAGAAGUCUGAAAUUCAGAUUCGAUCCUUGUAUGAGACAGCUGCAUAUUCCUGCAUUGCAGGGUUUUGGACUACAUGGUCCUCAAGGUCCCUUCCACCUCUACAAUUCUAUAUGAUAUAAACUUGUAGAUACGGCUUCAGAAUGCAAGCUUCCUGGUGUCAAAAGCAGAAAAUGCCUUUUGAAAUAUUAAUUCGGUCUUAUUGAUUAAAUCUUUAAUGGAUGUCCCGGUUUAUAAUUAUAGAAGCAAACUGAGAGUUGCCACGAACCUCUGAUUAUGACAUCAAUGAAUGACUCACAGUGCAAUCCAGUGCUUGGAUCCUCAAUAAGUUAUUCCCAUUGAGUUUAACGAUGAGGCUUACUUCCUGGUAAGUGGAGGAGGUGGGGUUGCAGUCUCAGUUACUUUUGGUUUGGUAGCUAGUGGGCAGAAACGCUGGGGGGGAAAUGGACAUGUUCGUGGGAGGAAUAAGCAUUUGCCAGUUCAUUUGCCUGAUCCACAUCAUAUAAACCAGCAAUUAUUUAAACUGGAGUUCUUCAAAAUGCCUUCACAAUGAUUACAAAAGUCCAUCUUGCACCACAAAGAGGCACUGAAGCCAUUAAGGAUUUUUCCUUCUUAAGAAACUUGAGGACACCUUCCUCUUCCACUUGAAAAAAUGGGCAGCAGGACCAGCAUCAAAGGUCAGCAUGGCUGGGCGUCUCCCAGGGCUCGCACCACCCUGGACCUGCUCCUCCUCUUGUUAACCUGCUCCUUAGCUCUCUAUCCCAGACAACAGUGGCAAUGCGAAGGAAGAUCAGUAGAUGCCACUUCCUGCCUGGCAAGUAAGCCAGUGGGAGUGAUGAUGAGCCAGUAGCAAGUGACAAGGGCAGUGAGGAGGAGGCAGACUCACCCAAGGGCAAAGGGCUAUGGAGAGGGUCUUGCCCAAGGGCUGCCCAAAACCUGGAGCAAACAUUGAUGAGCAGGCUGUCCUGAUCUGGGACGCAGGUGGCACUGUGCUCUAAACCACUGAGCCUCUUGGGCUUGACAAUCAGAAGGUUGGCGGUUCAAAUCCCCGCAACGCAGUGAGCUUCCGUUGCUCUGUCCCAGCUCCUGCCAACCUAGCAGUUCGAAAGCACACCAGUGCAAGUAGAUAAAUAGGUACCACUGUGGUGGGUAGGUAAAUGGCAUUUCCAUGCGCUCUUGUUUCCGUCACGGUGUCCCGUUGCACCAGAAGCGGUUUAGUCAUGCUGGCCACAUGACCCACAAAGAUAUCUGUGGACAAACACCAUGCUCCCUUGGCCUGAAAAGCGAGAUGAAAGCCACAACCCCAUAGUCGCCUUUGAUUGGACUUAACCGUCCAGGAUUCCUUUUUACCUUUUCCUGGUAAAAUUCCUGUACCAGGAAUGUGCUUUAAACAUGUGUUGAGCAGACAGCAAAAAUUUCACUGGUUAAAAUCUAUCACUUAAGUGUUUUAACUGUUAGGUUUGGCUGCCACCUUUUUCCCCUGGCAGGGCUGCUGUGCUAUUAAAAAAAAGAAUCACUUGUCAUUCAUUUAUUUAUUUUUGUAACCAGGAAUGAUUUUCCCAUUGAAUCUAUCCAGUAUCUAGGAAUAUAGAUGAGUGGCUGGCAUAAGCGAAAUUUAGAAACAUGGGUAGAACUUUGAAAAGGGGAAGAAUUUGUCAACUGUAAGGGCAUACGAUUUAAUAAUAAUAAUAAUAAUAAUAAUAAUAAUAAUAAAUUUUAUUUAUAUCCCACCUUCCCUGGCCAGAACCGGGCUCAGGACAGGUAACAACACAAUGACUGGAAGCAAAGGAAUACAUCUCUUUCAAAUAUUUUAAAGGAAAACGUAUUAUAAAGGAGACAUUGUGACAAACGGAAUUCUGCAAGUGAACAGGACUCAAACAACAAAUUAUUUUGAAACCCAGAUUAAGGAGGAGUAUUUUGAGGGCACAUGGGUUAUUACUAACAUUAAAUCAGAAAUAACAUAAAUUUAUGGGGCAGUGGAAUAAGGACAAUUUGGGCACAAUAAUUGGAAAACUGGAUUCCCACCUCCAUUUGUUUCACAUUCCAAAAAAAAGCUGAAUAUAAAGGAAUGUAAAGAUUGCAUUUAAUCCCAUAGAGGAUAAAAACAGAUGAAUUGCUGGAAAGCUGUUAAAAGGCCCAGCAGCUCAGCAGAGAAAAGGUUGGCAACCCUGUUUUUAAGUUGGGGCUUCGUUUUAGGGCACCUGUUUCCCUAACCAUUUCAGCAAUUGUGCUAAUCCUAGAUACCAUCAGAAAAGAUCCUAUUUCCAGAAUACAAUGCAACUUUAGAACCUGUCUAGCUAGUUACUGAAAUGAAAACGCUCCAGACAGACAAAAUGUAAACAAGGCAGAAACAGGCUAUUUUGGGUUAAGCAUGUUUUCCCCCUGACCUAACUUUUUAAAUUAGGUUGCUGAAUUAUAGCUAGAAGGUGGGCUGCUGUUCCUUUGUUCCUACAAAAACACAUUUGACUCUCAGUGGGAAAGAAACAGGACUACGUCCUUUGACGUAAUUUCAGUGCCAAUACAGUCGUACCUUGGUUGACGAACGCCUUGCUAUUCAAAUGUUUUGGCUUCUGAAUGCCGCAAACCCGGAAGUGAGUCUUCUGGUUUGCGAACCUUCUUUGGAACCUGAACGUCUGACACUGCUUCCGCAGCUUCCGAUUGGUUGCAGGAGCUUCCUGUAGCCAAUCGGAAGCCGCGCCUUGGUUUCCAAAUGUUUUGGAAGUCGAACGGACUUCUGGAACGGAUUCCAUUCGACAUCCGAGGUGCUGCUGCAUAUUGUAAACCACCCCAAUCUCUGAGCGCUGUGAGAUUCCAGGGAUCCUGGACACUUACCCAGGGUUUAUGUUUCCUUUUGGAAAUGAGGCACAGCAGAGACUGUGGUGUCUUUAUGAUGUAUGGUUUAUUUACACAUAUACACAACCUAAGCCUAUGGUGGAGGGGUUCACAACAUUAACAUCCCAAAAGGGUCUUGUUUCUCCCAUAGCUGCAGCCUUGGAUUCAGACAGAAAUCAAACAUUGUGCUCUUCCUCUCCAGCUUUCAGCCUGUAGCUCUUCCUCUAGGUCCCAUUACAACCAACUCUCAAUUUUGGCUUUGUCCUAUCUAAGAGAGGGAGGAAGAGCCCCACGCAUUCACUAUCUGGUAUAGAGUCCCCUUCCUCAUAAUGUUGUUUGAGGAUUUGCAGCGAAAUUUUCCACACCACUGGCAGAUUUAACUUCCUUUGGCCUCAUUCUGUUGUUUCUCUCUUCACACCAGUCGGCAGAUUAGGAUGGGGUGCAGCCGUAGUUCAGUGAAUCCGCCCCACACAACUACCGUAUUUUUUGCUCUAUAAGACUCACUUUUUCCCUCCUAAAAGGUAAGGGGAAAUGUGUGUGCGUCUUAUGGAGCGAAUGCAGGCUGCGCAGCUAUCCCAGAAGCCAGAACAGCAAGAGGGAUCACUGCUUUCGCUGCGCAGCAAUCCCUCUUGUUGUUCUGGCUUCUGAGAUUCAGAAUAUUUUUUUUCUUGUUUUCCUCCUCCAAAAACUAGGUGCGUCUUAUGGUCUGGUGCGUCUUAUAGAGCGAAAAAUACGGUAGUUCUGUUUGCUGAGCAUGCACAUUGCUGAGCGUUCCAUUUACUUUCCCCCAUUUCUUCUGCUUUUCUUCUAUUAAAUAAAAAAUAAAUAAAAGUUACCCACCUAGACCGCCGCAAAUACUCCAAAAAUUUGGAAGUUUUUGACCUAUUUUUAAGGAAAUUCGUCGAAAAAUCAACACUUCCAACAUGGGUUGCCAUACGUCUUGAGUUUUCCUGUAUAUUUCUCAUGAUUUUCGGAAAUUCCACCCGGAUGCUAUUUCAAUGGCUGAAUCCCAAUAUGUCCAGGAAAACCCAGAUGUAUAGCAGCCCUACCAGUGGCAACUGGUAGAGGGAUUUAUGGAAGGGCUACCUACAGGAGAAGUGAGAAGGUAGAGACGCUUUGUAAUAAAGAAUCAGUAUUUGCCAGACUUCAUUUCAGCAUGUAGGGCUAUGCUGUCUUUUCCAUACAGAGCUUACCUGCAAUAUUGUUCUGUGCAACAUCAAUUCACUGUAACAUGCAAGUGACUCUUAAUGUAAAAGCCACGACAGUGAAAUAUUGCUGUUGCUCUAUGCUGAGUCUAUACCUAGGCAAUAGAUUUUACAGUGGUACCUUGGUUCUCAAACACCUUGGUACUCAAACAACUUGGAACCCAAACACUACAAACCCAGAAGUGUUCCAGUUUGUGAACUUUCUUUGGAAGCUGAACGUGCUCCGUUUUGAGUGUUACGCUUAUGAUUUAAGUGUUACGCUUAUGAUUUGAGUGUUACGCUGACGAUUUGAGUGUUACACUUAGGUCUGUCUGUUUUUGCUAUUUAUUUUGCGUUUUUGUUUUUGUGACUGUGUGGAACCCAGUUCAGCUACUGCUUGAUUGACGGUGUGACUGCAGUACAUUGUUUAUUGCUUUCAUUUUAUGGACCAAUGGUCUCGUUAGAUAGUAAAAUUCAUAUUAAAUUGCUGUUAAACUGUUGUUUUUAAAAGGCUGGAACGGAUUGAUCCAUUUUCCAUUACUUUCUAUGGGAAAGUGCGCCUUGGUUUUGGAACGCUUUGGUUUUGGAACAGACUUCCAGAACGGAUUAAGUUUGAGAACCAAGGUACCACUGUAUUUUUGUAUAGGUUGCGCCCAUUGAUUUAUAAAAGUAGCAUUGCUUCCUGGAAAUAUCGGACAUUUUCCUGCAUGCCAUGUGCUGAGAAGGUAACAACGGAUUUGACUGCAUAUUAUUACUAACUUCCGCCCUUAGAGAGGGCAUCCAUAUUCUACUUUAACUAAAAGGGCAUAGGGUGGAAUUGCAUCCUUUGUAUUUGUACGGAGGAUUUGCUCCACGGGCCUGCAUAAGUCACCUGCCUCUGGGCUUUUGUUUUUGUCUGUGAAAUGGGGAUGGGAAAAGACUCAUCACAAUGUGGUCGACUGUACUGGAAGCCUAAUCCAUUAUUGGCUUUAGCUACCGCUUGCAUUGGAAAGACAAAAGGGAACCUCUCCUUAAAUGGGGAUGCAGAUCAAUUUACACAUAGCCCGUUGAUGCUAGAAAUUAUCAUUAGGGGCAGAUGUUUAUUUUGAACGCAGGAACGUAUAGUAGGAGAUCACAGUCAGUGUUACCUGUUAAUUACUUAUCCUAGGCCAGGGGUGUCCAAACUUUUUCCAAAGAGGACCAGAUUUGAUGAAGUGAAGAUGUAUGAGGGCCAACCAAAGUUACAGUGGUACCUCAGGUUAAGUACAUAAUUCGUUCCAGAGGUCCGUACUUAACCUGAAACUGUUCUUAACCUGAAGCACCACUUUAGCUAAUGGGGCCUCCCGCUGCUGCAGCGCCGCCGGAGCACGAUUUCUGUUUUCAUCCUGAAGCAAAGUUCUUAACCUGAAGCACUAUUUCUGGGUUAGCGGAGUCUGUAACCUGAAGCGCAUGUAACCUGAAGCGUAUGUAACCUGAGGUACCACUGUACUGAGCUUUUUUUAGGAUUGAAGUUGUUGAGCUUUUGGGUGGCGGGGAUUUUACUACCCCAGAAAAUAAACUGCCAUACAAUUUUACCGCAAAGUUGUUGAGCUUUUUUUAAAAAAAAUACCCCAAAGUUGUUGAGGCCGGAUUAAACUGACUGGCGGGCCGGAUUACGCCCCAGAAACAGACUUUAGACAUGCCAGUCCUAGGCCAUGCUUCUGUACUUUUUAAUCACAGCCUCACAUGGAGAAAUGUAGAAGGUGAAGCUUUUCCUGGCAUGGAAAUAAAAUUUGGGGCAUAGAAUUAGAGGGCGCCCUAAGGAAACUGGUGACCAUGUUGGGUAAGCAACUUGCCUACAACGUCAGAGCAUUUAUUUAACAGAUGAUAUAUUUACAGGUAAGGGACGGUUUUAUACCUAGAGAUUCUAGAGUGGCCAGCUGCAAAGGCAAGCAGGCCUCCUGUACAUGUAAUCGUUACGUAACUAGAAGAGGGGAUUUGUCAGUUUAUUUGCAGCUUUUCAUACUCCUACAAUGGCUAAAAUGUCGCUGACAAUCUGUAAAUCAGUGCCCAGUGCAGGCAGAGUGACCAGGGACAACAAAGAACACAAUGUCUGUACUCUUCAUAGCUAUGGAAAAGGGGGGAAUUUCAUCAGAUUAUCAGCAUUUUAUGACAGGGUUACUGUUCCUCCCUCCAUUGGUUCCUGCAGGUGUGCCUCAUGCAGACAUUAGCAAGGAGUGGGGAACCUGCCAUCAUCCAGAUUUUGUUGGACUACGACUCCCAUCAUCGCUGUCCAUUGGCCACGUAGUCCCAACAACGUCCAGUAGGAGGUCCUCCGUCCAAGCAGCAGAGGAAGAGUAUUUAUUUGUUGUAUUAUCUACCACAUUUAUGUUAAGCUUACCAGAUUUUUUUCAAAGAAUGCAGGGACACUUUAAAAAAGAGAGAGAG
Molecule: non-coding RNA, 12437 nt
Organism: Podarcis lilfordi (Lilford's wall lizard)
Lineage: Eukaryota; Metazoa; Chordata; Lepidosauria; Squamata; Lacertidae
Source: the annotation of a GenBank genome assembly